UUUGUUUCUUUUCCUUUUUUUGUUCUCUUUGAGGUUUUAAACUAACCUCUAUUAUUUUCUACUGAGAUUUUACACUGUUUCUUUUCACUUUUCAGUUUUGGAUACAUCUGGAAUUGACUUUUUUGCAUGGUGUAAGAAAUAACAGUUCUUCCUGGAUCAGCCCUCUCCCGUCUGUCAUCUCCAACAGAUACAAAGCCAGCUUUAAGAAGACCAAACCUACAAAAAUCAUUCAUGCUUUCUGCCUCCAUGUUUUUCUUUCCAACCUAGUUCCUCCAGAAAAUGUAAAAGAGCAACCGAACCGUCAACUGGUACAAUGACUUCUACACAUCAGACCUCGGCCACGCCACAGUCAUCAGAUUAUUCUAUCACAGGGUCUCUCAACCGUGGAAUAUGGUCUCCAAGGGAAACAAGCCACAGAGGGCUCAGGAGCAUUGCUAUAAAGAGUAGGCAAAUGGAAAUCUUUCCCCAAAGGGCACACUGGGAUUGUUAGGCGAGGGCUGCUCAAUCCAUUAAAAGUUUAAACUCGAAAAAAAAAAAGAAAAAAAAAACCUUUUGAAAAAAUACAGAAAGCAACCUGUUCUAGAUUUUGUGUAUAAAAGAGAGUUUAUUCAGGGGACUGAAAUGUUGACAGUGAAUCAACUGGGAGGAUAUUUUCAAUCAGAACCGUCUGACUGACAGCUUUCAUAUUAUUAAUGCACAUACUAGGAGACAUCAAAUUUGAAGGGCAGGCAUUGUGCUAAGUCAGACUUCUACCUUAAAAUGCAUUACAUUUUGUCUGUAAAUCAAGGUCAGUUAUUAAAUUAAGGUGCUCUCAUCCCUAAAUACUUUAUUCCAUCAUCGUGUGUAAUUAAUCACAAACCCCUUACUUGGGGUUCUUUAGAAAGUGAUGAGCAAAACCCAUAAAAAAUUAAGAGAAAAAAUAACAGGUAUCUUUUAAAAAACAGGGAAUAAGUGCAAGGAAAUUUAAGUAUAAGUAAAAAAAUUUGCACGAUUCUUUAAAUAGAUAAUAGAUAUAAUAAUAAUAAUUUUGCAGCCCUACAAUUCCACAGCAUAUUAAUCUUUUCAAAUCUGUUAUUUUUCACCAUUAAAACAAUCAUGUAAAACAGGUGGAGUACUUCAAUAUUCCAAUUUCACAGAUGCAUACACUGAGUCAAGGAAAAGUUAAGUAUCUAUUAAGUCAUCCAGCUUACUGGAUAUGGAACUGAGACUUGAAAGCAUAUCUUCUAAAUCCGACCUCUUCUCUAAAGAUAGUGUCACCUUUCUCCAAAGAUAGUGUCAGGACAUAGAAAGCAGAAGUUAAACUGUAUGCGCUAUUCUGCCUUCCAUACUUAUUUUUCCCAAGAAGUAAUUUAAAAAACACAUUGGAGAUAAUGCUUGUGAAGCACUUUGCUAAAUGCUAAAUUGUCCGAACACUUUGGAAAAAAGUGGCAGUUUCUUAAAAAAUUAACAAAGAAUUACCAUAUGACCCAGCAAUUCCACUCCUAGCCAUGUACUGAGGAGAACUGAAAAUAUAUGUCCAUGUAAAAACUUAGAGUUAAAUAUUUGUAGCAGCUUUAUUUAAAAUAGCCAAAAAGUGGAAACAACCCCCCAAAAAUGUGCCUCAGUGAUGGAUGUAUAAAUAAAACA
Molecule: long non-coding RNA, 1626 nt
Filed under: Homo sapiens (human)
Lineage: Eukaryota; Metazoa; Chordata; Mammalia; Primates; Hominidae
Description: novel transcript
Source: RNAcentral